RNAcentral lists this ribosomal RNA (274 nucleotides) under uncultured bacterium. RNAcentral describes it as "partial 16S ribosomal RNA". It matches the Rfam family "Bacterial small subunit ribosomal RNA", at positions 523 to 796 of the family's 1533-position model. The record is from RNAcentral.
AUACGAACUGCGCGAACGUUAUUCGGAUUCACUGGGCUUAAAGGGUGCGUAGGCGGCCUGUUAAGUAGGGCGUGAAAUCUGUCGGCUCAACCGGCAAAUUGCGUUCUAAACUGGCAGGCUUGAGUGGGUCAGGGGUGUGUGGAACUUCCGGUGGAGCGGUGAAAUGUGUUGAUAUCGGAAGGAACGCCGGUGGCGAAAGCGACACACUGGGGCCUGUCUGACGCUGAGGCACGAAAGCCAGGGUAGCGAACGGGAUUAGAAACCCCUGUAGUCC